GUCAACAUGUUUUGUGCUGCUCUGUUCCUGCUCCUUGCAGCUGCUGGUGUGAAGUGUGAACAGUUGACACAACCAGCUUCUGUGACUGUGCAGCCAGGUCAGACUCUGACCAUCAGCUGUCAGGUCUCUUAUUCCAUUAGCAGCUACUACACAGCUUGGAUCAGACAGCCUGCAGGAAAAGGACUGGAGUGGAUUGGAAGCGCAGCUAGAGGAUCUACAACAUACUACAAAGAUUCUCUCAGAAACAAAUUUAGCCUUUCUACAGAUUCUUCCAGCAACACACUGACUCUGAAUGGACAGAAUAUGCAGCCUGAAGACGCUGCUACAUAUUACUGUGCAAGAGACCCACAGUGACAAAACCAAACAACAUAGCUGUACAAAAACUCAU
This is a non-coding RNA of Girardinichthys multiradiatus, 388 nucleotides long. NCBI's taxonomy places the organism in Eukaryota, Metazoa, Chordata, Actinopteri, Cyprinodontiformes, Goodeidae. The record is from the annotation of a RefSeq genome assembly.